Molecule: long non-coding RNA, 452 nt
Organism: Elaeis guineensis (African oil palm)
Lineage: Eukaryota; Viridiplantae; Streptophyta; Magnoliopsida; Arecales; Arecaceae
Source: RefSeq, a predicted model, not a curated record
CAGUCCAAUUCGCUCACUUAUUGAGUCAGGAAUCAAUGCAAAUAAAAGAUCGGAUGUGAGGCUUUAUUAUGGAGCGAGAAACCUUCAGAGAAUGGCUUAUCAGGAUAGGUUCAAGGAUUGGGAGUCUAGUGGUGUUAAAAUUGUACCUAUUUUGUCACAACCAGAUGAGAGAUGGAAAGGUGAACAAGGCUAUGUAUAGGCUGCAUUUUUUAGAGCCAAACAAGUUCUAAAUCCUUCAUCGACUGGGGCAGUGCUCUGUGGACACAAACAAAUGACUGAGGAUGUUACAACUAUGCUAAUGGCUGAUGGUGUGCCGAAAGAUAAAAUCCUAAAGAAUUUCUAAUGGUGGACAUGGACUCCUGUUUUGUUGUAACAUUUUUGACAAAAAACCAUCAGAUAUUCUUUAACCACCAAACUACAAUCAUUUGAUUGAACUUGGAUAGAUUAGGAGC